This 801-nucleotide ribosomal RNA is filed under the name Arthrobacter sp. CoA. RNAcentral describes it as "bacterial SSU rRNA". It matches the Rfam family "Bacterial small subunit ribosomal RNA", at positions 8 to 822 of the family's 1533-position model. Lineage: Bacteria; Bacillati; Actinomycetota; Actinomycetes; Micrococcales; Micrococcaceae. The record is from RNAcentral.
AGAGUUUGAUCCUGGCUCAGGAUGAACGCUGGCGGCGUGCUUAACACAUGCAAGUCGAACGAUGAAGCCCAGCUUGCUGGGUGGAUUAGUGGCGAACGGGUGAGUAACACGUGAGUAACCUGCCCCCGACUCUGGGAUAAGCCCGGGAAACUGGGUCUAAUACCGGAUAUGACCUCGCACCGCAUGGUGCGGGGUGGAAAGAUUUAUCGGUGGGGGAUGGACUCGCGGCCUAUCAGCUUGUUGGUGAGGUAAUGGCUCACCAAGGCGACGACGGGUAGCCGGCCUGAGAGGGUGACCGGCCACACUGGGACUGAGACACGGCCCAGACUCCUACGGGAGGCAGCAGUGGGGAAUAUUGCACAAUGGGCGCAAGCCUGAUGCAGCGACGCCGCGUGAGGGAUGACGGCCUUCGGGUUGUAAACCUCUUUCAGUAGGGAAGAAGCGAAAGUGACGGUACCUGCAGAAGAAGCGCCGGCUAACUACGUGCCAGCAGCCGCGGUAAUACGUAGGGCGCAAGCGUUAUCCGGAUUUAUUGGGCGUAAAGAGCUCGUAGGCGGUUUGUCGCGUCUGCCGUGAAAGUCCGAGGCUCAACCUCGGAUCUGCGGUGGGUACGGGCAGACUAGAGUGAUGUAGGGGAGACUGGAAUUCCUGGUGUAGCGGUGAAAUGCGCAGAUAUCAGGAGGAACACCGAUGGCGAAGGCAGGUCUCUGGGCAUUUACUGACGCUGAGGAGCGAAAGCAUGGGGAGCGAACAGGAUUAGAUACCCUGGUAGUCCAUGCCGUAAACGUUGGGCACUAGGUG